AAUCAACGCUGGCGGCGCGCUUAACACAUGCAAGUCGCACGAGAAAGUGGAGCAAUCCAUGAGUACAGUGGCGCACGGGCGAGUAACACGUGGGUAACCUGCCCUUGAAUGGGGAAUAACCCGGGGAAACCUGGGCUAAUACCGCAUACGCUCCUUUUGGCUCACGCCAGGGGGAGGAAAGGCGCAAGCCGUUCGAGGAGGGGCCCGCGGCCGAUUAGCUAGUUGGUAGGGUAAUGGCCACCAAGGCUUUGAUCGGUAGCCGGCCUGAGAGGGCACACGGCCACACUGGCACUGAAACACGGGCCAGACUCCUACGGGAGGCAGCAGUGGGGAAUCUUGCACAAUGGGGGAAACCCUGAUGCAGCGACGCCGCGUGAGCGAUGAAGCCCUUCGGGGUGUAAAGCUCUUUUGGCGGGGAAAAUUAUGAUGGUACCCCGCUNAAUAAGCUGCGGCUAACUACGUGCCAGC
RNAcentral lists this ribosomal RNA (468 nucleotides) under uncultured bacterium. Its description in RNAcentral is "bacterial SSU rRNA". It matches the Rfam family "Bacterial small subunit ribosomal RNA", at positions 32 to 512 of the family's 1533-position model. The record is from RNAcentral.